UACCCAAUGAAGGUCAUCACUUUCAGGAAGCAUCUGGACGAACAGUCCUGCCACGCUCUUUGAAGUUCCCGACACAUGGUAACCAAGACCUGAGGGCAGCAAACCGCUGGUGCUGUCUCUGUGAGCAAGAGCCGGGUGGCACAUUUGGAAGCCAUACUGUAUUUAACUUAAUCAAAUGUGGUAUGGGAGGGGUUGGAAACCAAGUUGUCUCCUGGGGGGAAGAAAAGACAGGUUUUAUUUUUGUGGCUGUGUUUUUUUCCCUUUUUAAUCUAACUGCCUGUUGAUGUUGACACUCAUCAGGGUUGUAGGCUGUCAUGAAUGUGUACGUGCUUAACCAGUGAAUUCCAUGUUGCUCGUGUGAGGCCUUUCCUGUCAUGACCCACUGUGCUUAAGAACCUGCCUGAUGGGGAGUGUCGGCUGUGAAAUCUGCAAAAAGAGCUGACGUUCCGGCUGCCGUGAUCAUGAAUUGGGGGUGUACUCUCCUGCCUGUGCAUCUUCUCGCGCUGAGAUUUUGAGGCGGUUGCAGCCCUCGGUUAGUCUCCCAGUGGAGAGAAAUCAGUUGUGCCUCCCUGCUUCCCACCAUAGCUGCCUGAAAACAUGACGCUCUUACGCUUGUCCUUCCAUCAGGAAGGUGUCCACUCACGCCCACCCAUGAGGGGGCUUGCCGUAUGCCCUGGCCUUUGGGCAUAUUUAUGUAGAGUUCCUUUCUCCUAAGACGUGAGUUUCUGAUGGGGGAUGUACGAGUAAAAAGGUUAACUUCUGUUCUUAUGCGUGGCGCUGUGUUCACUUUCCAGAGUCUGUUUGGAUGGCGGUCUCGGGGUACGGCAGCGUG
This 832-nucleotide long non-coding RNA is filed under the name Homo sapiens (human). RNAcentral's name for it is "HSALNT0217321". Lineage: Eukaryota; Metazoa; Chordata; Mammalia; Primates; Hominidae. The record is from RNAcentral.